This 394-nucleotide ribosomal RNA is filed under the name uncultured bacterium. RNAcentral describes it as "bacterial SSU rRNA". It matches the Rfam family "Bacterial small subunit ribosomal RNA", at positions 30 to 424 of the family's 1533-position model. The record is from RNAcentral.
AUUGAACGCUGGCGGAAUGCUUUACACAUGCAAGUCGAACGGUAGAGGGGGCAACCCCUCGAGAGUGGCGAACGGGUGAGUAAUAUAUCGGAACGUGCCCAGUCGUGGGGGAUAACGUAGCGAAAGUUACGCUAAUACCGCAUACGAUCUACGGAUGAAAGCGGGGGACUCGCAAGAGCCUCGCGCGAUUGGAGCGGCCGAUAUCAGAUUAGGUAGUUGGUGGGGUAAAGGCUCACCAAGCCAACGAUCUGUAGCUGGUCUGAGAGGACGACCAGCCACACUGGAACUGAGACACGGUCCAGACUCCUACGGGGAGGCAGCAGUGGGGAAUUUUGGACAAUGGGCGCAAGCCUGAUCCAGCAAUGCCGCGUGCGAGGAAGAAGGCCUUCGGGUU